RNAcentral lists this transfer RNA (73 nucleotides) under Stegodyphus mimosarum. It matches the Rfam family "tRNA". From Rfam's summary of the family: Transfer RNA (tRNA) molecules are approximately 80 nucleotides in length. Their secondary structure includes four short double-helical elements and three loops (D, anti-codon, and T loops). Further hydrogen bonds mediate the characteristic L-shaped molecular structure. tRNAs have two regions of fundamental functional importance: the anti-codon, which is responsible for specific mRNA codon recognition, and the 3' end, to which the tRNAs corresponding amino acid is attached (by aminoacyl-tRNA synthetases). tRNAs cope with the degeneracy of the genetic code in two manners: having more than one tRNA (with a specific anti-codon) for a particular amino acid; and 'wobble' base-pairing, i.e. permitting non-standard base-pairing at the 3rd anti-codon position. The record is from Rfam by way of RNAcentral. Lineage: Eukaryota; Metazoa; Arthropoda; Arachnida; Araneae; Eresidae.
ACCUUCGUGGUGUAAUGGCCAGCACGCUCAACCCGUAACCGACAGGUCCGUGGUUCGAUUCCCGGCGAAGGCC